UUCAGGGUGUUUUCCUCUCCUUGCCCAGUCCCCUGGUGUGUGUGAGUCGUAGGCGUGGUCUGCCUGGCUUUGUGAUUCACUGAGUGAUGUAUAAGCUCAGGCUCCCGCCCAAGCGUUGGCCUGUGUGUGUGUCUACUGCGGGUGAUCAUUGAACUCGAGCAGAAUGUGCCCAUGCGCGGUGAAGACUGCCCUGCCCGGUACCCACCGGGUAUGUUAAAUUCAGGGGGAAGUGGCCUCAUUUUGAUCUUGUGUAUAGGCUGUGAUGUCCAAUGGACUUAAAAUAGCAAUACAGUGAUGCCUGUCUUUUAGUCCUUCCCUAUGUGUCUAGAGAGGGAAGGUUGAUGGACUAGGCUUCCUCCGAGUCCCUCGUACCUGUAACGAACCAAGGCCCAACAGAGUUUAUCAGAUUGGGACCAAUGGCAAUCUGCAUUCGAUCAGGUUGCUGUAUGACUGGCUUGUUGGCCGCCAUCACUGCAAGGUAAAAGUGAAAGGGCAUGCCUCUUUCGCAAGGACUCUGCUUUUUGUGCUGACAAUCUCCUCACUUCCUCUGAUGAAAUAGAAACUCUGGCUGCUGGUUAGUGCCCGAGGCAGCCAAGCAACGGUCACCGAAAGGCACCCCCCGCCCCCGACACAUCAGGGAAUGGACAUUAGCCUUACUUUUUAAAUCCACAUCUUCCCAAGGUCCAGUGGCAUCCAACACACAGUGUUACCAGGGUGAAGCAACACCUCUCCCUGGCUACUGGGAUGGCUUCUGGAAGUCCAUCAGCCUGGUCUGAGCUCCCGGUCUACUCUCAAGCCUUUCUCUUAGCGGCUUCCAGAAGGGAGAGGUUGGACGGUUUGCAUGUCCUCAUGCCCCCUCCACACCGAGCCCUGUGGAUCAGCUGAGUGGAAGGUUGGUCCACCGGUGACGACUUGAUCCUUCGGCCGUGAAGACGUCUACCAACUGACUAACUCAUCUGACUGGUGACCGUGAAGUCCAGCCACCUGUUGCCAACACUGCCAUGGUCAUGACCACCCCCAUCUCUCACCUGGAGUGUUGUAACAGACUCCUCACCUGUGACCUGCUUCUUGCUCCCCAGUGGCCUCUUGCCCGUGAAGGAGAUGGAGCGAUUUGUUUUUUUUUUUUUUAAAUGUUUAUUUAGUUUUGAGAGAGAGAAAGCGUGAGCAGGGAGGGGCAGAGAGAGGGGGGGACGGAUGAUCCAAAGCAGGUUCUGUGCUGGUAGCAGAAAGCCCGAUGCGGGAAUUGAACUCACGAACCAUGAUGAUCUUGACCAGAUCUUAAACGAUGCAGCCACGCGGGAGUGAUUCUUUAGAAACCCGGGUCCCCUUCUAUUAUUACUCUCUGCUCAGGACUCUCCAGCUUCUUCCUAACUCACUCAGACUGCAGCCAAGCUGAAGAAACUGUGUGAAAACAGAGUCUGAUUGCCCAUGAAAGACAAUGCCACCUUAUUUUGUAAAAAGAAAACCUGGAUUCUCCUAAGUCGGCCCCUGAAAGGGACUCUGCCCGUGGGGAUGGUGGAAACGUAAACCCCGCAGCCCCUCAUCUUCUCCCAGACGUGGUGCCACACUGCACAUACUGGCACAAGUGACCCUCUCCUUUGCUCCGUCUCGGAAAGUCUCCAGUGCGGAAGUCCCCGUUCUUUUCUCUUGGCUCCACGAUGACCUGUUGUAUGGCUGUCCCAUAAUGUAUUUAGCCUCUCUCCUGCCGAUAGGCAUUUGGGUCAUUUCUUAUCUUUUUUUUUCACUCCCAAAGUGCUUCAGUGAAAAACAAUGAAUAACUUCCUUUGCACAUAUGUGAAGUAUGUAGGACAACUUUCUAGAAACUGCUGGGUCAAAGAAUAGGUGCACCUCGAGCGUAAAUACAUAUUGUCAAAUUU
Molecule: long non-coding RNA, 1877 nt
Organism: Neofelis nebulosa (Clouded leopard)
Lineage: Eukaryota; Metazoa; Chordata; Mammalia; Carnivora; Felidae
Exons: 6
Source: RefSeq, a predicted model, not a curated record